Molecule: ribosomal RNA, 981 nt
Filed under: Triticum aestivum (bread wheat)
Lineage: Eukaryota; Viridiplantae; Streptophyta; Magnoliopsida; Poales; Poaceae
Description: partial small subunit ribosomal RNA
Source: RNAcentral
UUGUGUGCGCCAAAGAAAGAAGGUACAAUGGGAUUUCGAGAUAUUCAUUGUUUCAACAUAGCCCUGCUUGGGAAACAGGCUUGGAGAUUAAUUGAUAAUCCAUAUUCCCUUUGUGCCCGUGUUUUCAAAGCCAAAUAUUAUCCAGAUUGUGAUAUUUUGAAUGCAACUCUGAAAAAGAGAUCCUCGUUCACAUGGCAAAGUACUAUGUCAGGGGUGCAGACACUAAAAAUAGGUCAUAUAUGGAGGAUCGGUGAUGGUAGUCAGAUCAAUGUUUGGGAUGAUGAAUGGAUCCCUAACUCAUCUACCAGAAAAGUGAUCACGUCUCGUGGAGGCAAUUUACUAUCAAAAGUAAGUAAUUUCAUUGACCCUGUUAUGGGUCGUUGGGAUGAAGAGUUGGUUUCUCAAACAUUCUGGGAAGUUGAUGUGGUGCGGAUCCUUGUGAUUCUGUUACCUGAAUUUGAAAUGUCAGACUUUGUAGCAUGGAACUUGGCAAAAAACAGGAUAUUCUCAAUGAGAUCGGCAUACUUUGUGGAGUGGCACAACCAAUAUGGACUUCAAAUAUCGGGAGAAAAUACAGUCGGACCCUAACGGAAUUCACUAAUAUGGGAGACGAUCUGGAGCUUAAGCUGUCCUGCCAAGGUUAAAAUAUUCCUCUGGCGAACUUUGUUAGGAUCGUUACCAUGUCCGGUGACUUUGGCUAACGAACAUAUAGAAGUCAGUAGGCAAUGUCCUACAUGCGGUAUAGGAGCCGAGGAUACCGAGCAUCUGUUAUUCACUUCUGCAAAAUCUAAAGAGGUAUGAUAGUUACUGGGUUUGGACUUUGUUAUUGAUAAAGCAUGCAAUGUGGAUCGUGUGAGAGAAUAUGUGCUAGAAUAUUUGUUGCUACAACCAGGUAAAGAAUGUGUGGUCCUCGGUUUGGGAAAAUCAACGGAAUCAAUUGCUAUUGGUUCCUGGUAUUUAUGGUGGGAGAGGAGAAAGUAA